ACCUGGUUGAUCCUGCCAGUUGUCAUAUGCUUGUCUCAAAGAUUAAGCCAUGCAAUUGUAAUUAUAAAUAGACAGAUUGUACUAUGAGAAUGAGAAUGGCUCAUUAAAUCAGCAAUGAUUUCUUCGGUGGAAGAAGUGAUUCUAAAUGGAUAACUCUUGGGAAAGCUAGAGCUAAUACAUGCAAAGAGAGUUCCGUAGAGGAAAGCGUAUAUUAGAAUAUAAAGCCAACUAUCAAAAGAGAGGGUGAAUCAUAAUAUUCAAGUAGAUCGCAAAAGACGCAAGUCGGGCGAUGAACCGAUCAAAUUUCUGCUCUAUCAACUGGAUAUCAGUGUAGGGAACUGAUAUGGUGAUCACGGGUGACGGAGAAUUAGGGUUUGAUUCCGGAGAGGGGGCACGAGAAAUGGCCACCACUUCUAAGGAAGGCAGCAGGCGCGCAAAUUACUCAAUCCUAACACAGGGAAGUAGUGACAAAAUAUAACAAUGAAGGUAUUUCAAUAUCUUUUUUGGAAUGAGAACAAUUUAAAUCUCUUAUCGAGAAACGAUUGGAGGGUAAGCUCUGGUGCCAGCAGCCGCGGUAAUUCCAGCUCCAAUAGUGUAUACGAAUGUUGUUGCAGUUAAAAAGCUCGUAGUUGGAAUGAACUUUUUUAAAAAUUAAUUAAAUAUGAUAAAUAUUUAUUUGAUUUUUAAAAAAAAUUAAAUUUUUUUUAUAAUUAAAUUUAUUUAAUUAUAAAUAAUUUACUUUGAAUAAAUUAGAGUGUUUCAAGCAAUCUAAUUAAAUAUAGAAAUAUAUUUAAUUGUUUUUUGAUUUGAAUAAUAAAGCAUGGAAUAAUAAAAGAGGAUUUGAAAGAAAACUAUAGUUUUGGUUGGUUUAAUUUUUUUUAAAUCAUGAUCAAUAGGAAUGGUUGGGGGUCUUGGUAUUGAAUAGGAAGCGGUGAAAUGCGAGGAUCUAUUCAAGACGAACAACAGCGAAAGCAUUGGCCAAAGACAUUUCCAUUAAUCAAGAACGAAAGUUUGGGGAUCGAAGAUGAUCAGAUACCGUCGUAGUCCAAACCAUAAAUGUUGCCGACCAAGCAUGAGAGGGUCGUGAUUUUUAGCGAUAGAAAUAAACCCCUUUUGAACUUUGGAGGGAAACCUGAGUGAUUGGGUUCUGGGGGGAGUACGGUAGCAAGGCUGAAACUUGAAGGAAUUGACGGAAGGGCACCACAAGGUGUGGAACCUGCGGCUUAAUUCGACUCAACACGGGAAAACUCACCAGGUCAGGACAGUAAAAGGAUUGACAGAUUAAAGUUCUUUCUUGAUUUAUUGGUUGGUGGUGCAUGGCCGUUCUUAGUUCGUGGUUUGAACUGUCUACUUGAUUGUGAUAACGAACGAGACCUUGAUUUAUUAAUUAGUUGAUCAUAGAUUUAAUUCAUUAAAUUUAUUGAUUUAAUAAAAUAUAUCAUUAUAUUUUAAUUUGACUUCUUAAAAGAACUCCAUAUGUUAAAUAUGAGGAAGUGAAAGGCAAUAACAGGUCUGUGAUGCCCUUAGAUGUCCUGGGCUGCACGCGCGUUACACUGAAUGAUUCAAAAAGUUUAUUAAAUCAAAAAACAUGUAACAAUGUUUUUUAAUUUUAUUCUUGUAUAGAUAUAUAUGAGUAAACUCGAACGUCAUUCGUGAUUGGGAUUGUCAAUUGCAAUUAUUUGACAUGAACGAGGAAUACCUAGUAAGCAUGUGUCAUCAACGCAUGCUGAUUACGUCCCUGCCCUUUGUACACACCGCCCGUCGCUGCUACCGAUGGAUGUUCCGAUGAAAUAUUAGGAAUUGAAAAAGACCUCUUUUUCCCAAUGAAUUCUAUUAAAUCUUAUCAUUUAGAGGAAGCAGAAGUCGUAACAAGGUAUCCGUAGGUGAACCAGCGGAAG
This 1898-nucleotide ribosomal RNA is filed under the name Vexillifera fluvialis. Its description in RNAcentral is "SSU rRNA". It matches the Rfam family "Eukaryotic small subunit ribosomal RNA". Lineage: Eukaryota; Discosea; Flabellinia; Dactylopodida; Vexilliferidae. The record is from RNAcentral.